AAAGACUCAAUUCCUGGGUUUUCGUGUCCAACAUUUAACCGUUUAUUUUAUAUAAUUUUUUUUAAUUACUAUUUUUAUCAUUGUUAGAUGAUAAAACAUGAAUAAUACUUUAUGCAUGACUUAUGUUUUAUUUAUUUUUUUAAAAAAAUCAAAUAAGAUAGACGGUUAAACGUUAGACACAGAAAUCUAGGAAUUGAGUUUUU
This is a non-coding RNA of Oryza nivara, 203 nucleotides long. The record is from Rfam. Lineage: Eukaryota; Viridiplantae; Streptophyta; Magnoliopsida; Poales; Poaceae.